GAACCACCUCUUUCAUCUUAAGAUUCUUUACUGAAAUCAAUCAAUCAUGAAAUUUACCAUAAGGAAUCAUCCAUCUCCAAAACAGUUUUGUUGUGUUAAUUUGUUGUGCUGAAUUACAAGUUGCUGAAGUUACUGAACGAAUUUCAGGUUCGGGUCUCUUUGAUUCAGUUGAUUACUUGUAUAAAGUUAUGUCUUUGAUAAAUACUUUGUGGAAUUGGGUGAUUGUGAAAUCAGGGCAUCAUGAUUAAGUGUUCUCAUCCUUGAAGCAUGCUAAUAAGAUUGAUAGAAAUAUUGUACGCGAACUUUUGAAGGAUGUUUAUGCCGUACUCGUGUUCCAUCUUUGUAAGCUACAUGCUAUUACAGUUUGACACACCUAGAUAUGAAUGAGAAUGUUGUUAACUCUUUGUAAAAAUAGUUGUUUUUAUACUUGUUUGAAAAUGAACAAUAGAAGGAGAAGCAUUUGCAUUCGUGAAAAUUUUGUACAGUCAAGUAUUGCUGAACAUUCAUUAUAGCACUAUUGAAACUAUGUGGGUUCUUUGUUAAGAAGUACUCUUAUAAUCUGAAUGUAGUGUGGUCCCUUAUCUUUUUUGUGUGUGAAGAAAUGAAGAAAAGUCUGACAA
Long non-coding RNA from Papaver somniferum (opium poppy), 620 nucleotides. RefSeq lists it as uncharacterized. The record is from RefSeq and is a predicted model, not a curated record. NCBI's taxonomy places the organism in Eukaryota, Viridiplantae, Streptophyta, Magnoliopsida, Ranunculales, Papaveraceae. The transcript has 2 exons.